UCAAAUGCAAUGAUAAAGAAGAGUAGAUUAUAUUUGUGCUUAAGCGAGUCUCGAUUUGGUGUGAGGAGAUAGUGCAAAUAUUGUUGAAAAUCACUUUUGAGCACAUGUUGACUGAAGACAUGCUGGGUACACCCAUUAUAGUGGAAGCGUAUCGCAAUAUUAUUUGCUGUACGUGAUAAAAGGUUUUACAUAGAUGUGUGUAGACAAAUCUAGGGUGGUACCGUGCUUUAAUUUGCGCCCCUUAA
RNAcentral lists this non-coding RNA (245 nucleotides) under Lactobacillus iners. RNAcentral's name for it is "T-box sequence". It matches the Rfam family "T-box leader". From Rfam's summary of the family: Uncharged tRNA acts as the effector for transcription antitermination of genes in the T-box leader family. The record is from RNAcentral. Lineage: Bacteria; Bacillati; Bacillota; Bacilli; Lactobacillales; Lactobacillaceae.